RNAcentral lists this non-coding RNA (216 nucleotides) under Anaerocolumna jejuensis. RNAcentral also lists the same sequence under 1 other name. Lineage: Bacteria; Bacillati; Bacillota; Clostridia; Lachnospirales; Lachnospiraceae. The record is from RNAcentral.
UAAGUCUUAAAGAUAGUAAGUGGUCACAAUCUGAUCGUUGUGACAUAAUAGGGAAACAGGUCAAAUUCCUGUGCGGUCCCGCCGCUGUAUAUGAGGAGUCUGCUAUUCUCGUAAAACUGUCCGCAGUUUUACAAUCACUGGGUUUAUCGGCCUGGGAAGAUUUGUAGCAGAUGUGGAUUCAUGAGCCAGAAUACCUGCUUAUUAUCCGUACCACCU